GCUGAUGAAAAGCAGCCCAGCCCUGACCCUGCAGCUCUGGGAGAGGAGCCGCAGCCCAGGGAGGCCCAGGUGUCCCAAGCCGGUCAUCAGGACUCAACACACACGGCUCACCAUGGAGUCUGGGCUGAGCUGGGUUCUCCUUGCUGCUCUUCUAGGAGGUGUGCAGUGUGAGGUGCAGCUGGUGGAGUCUGGUGGAGGCUUGGUGCAGCCUGGGGGAUCGCUGAGACUCACCUGUGUGGCCUCUGGAUUCACCUUCAGGAACUAUGGCAUGAGCUGGGUCCGCCAGGCUCCAGGGAAGGGGCUUCAGUGGGUUACAGGUAUUAGUGGUAAUGGAAACAGCAAAUACUACACUGACUCCGUGAAGGGCCGGUUCGCCAUCUCCAGAGACAACGCCAAGAACACGGUGGAUCUGCAAAUGGACCGCCUGACAGACGAGGACUCAGGCCUGUAUUUCUGUGCCAAAGACACAGAAGAUGUGGUACCCUGGAUCAUUGAUGGUGACGUGGAGAAGCAGGCGUACAGUCUACAAACGGUGUAG
Molecule: non-coding RNA, 538 nt
Organism: Manis javanica (Malayan pangolin)
Lineage: Eukaryota; Metazoa; Chordata; Mammalia; Pholidota; Manidae
Source: the annotation of a RefSeq genome assembly